This 119-nucleotide ribosomal RNA is filed under the name Pogona vitticeps (central bearded dragon). The record is from RNAcentral. Lineage: Eukaryota; Metazoa; Chordata; Lepidosauria; Squamata; Agamidae.
UCCCACAGACAUGCUACCUUGGGUUGUGAUCUUGUCAGAUCUCAUAAGCCAAGCAAGAUUGGGUCAGGUCAGUGCUCAGAUGGAAGACCUCCAGGGAGAGAACCCAGGUGUUGCGAAAA